GACGAACGCUGGCGGUGUGCUUAACACAUGCAAGUGGUGCGACGAACCAGAGCUUGCUCUGGGGCAAAGCCGCGAACGGGUGAGUAACACGUGGGUAAUCUACCCCGAUGACCGGGACAACCCGAGGAAACUCGGGCUAAUACCGGAUGUGGUGCGGAGACAUAAGUCUCUUCACUAAAGGUAGCUUCGGCUUCCGCAUUGGGAGGGGCCCGCGGCCCAUUAGCUUGUUGGGGGGGUCAAGGCCUACCAAGGCAACGAUGGGUAGCUGGUCUGAGAGGACGAUCAGCCACACUGGGACUGAGACACGGCCCAGACUCCUACGGGAGGCAGCAGUGGGGAAUCUUGCGCAAUGCGCGAAAGCGUGACGCAGCAACACCGCGUGAGGGAAGAAGGCCUUAGGGUUGUAAACCUCUUUCAGAUGGGACGAAGGUUCUCCGGUGAAUAGCCGAGAGGAUUGACGGUACCGUCAGAAGAAGCUCCGGCUAACUACGUG
This 493-nucleotide ribosomal RNA is filed under the name uncultured bacterium. Its description in RNAcentral is "partial 16S ribosomal RNA". It matches the Rfam family "Bacterial small subunit ribosomal RNA", at positions 28 to 507 of the family's 1533-position model. The record is from RNAcentral.